This 1354-nucleotide ribosomal RNA is filed under the name Acinetobacter movanagherensis. Its description in RNAcentral is "bacterial SSU rRNA". It matches the Rfam family "Bacterial small subunit ribosomal RNA", at positions 1 to 1367 of the family's 1533-position model. The record is from RNAcentral. Lineage: Bacteria; Pseudomonadati; Pseudomonadota; Gammaproteobacteria; Moraxellales; Moraxellaceae.
GACUCCUAGCAAGAUAUGAAGGUAGUGCGAGCUUACCAUGCAGUCGAGCGGAUGAAGUAGCUUGCUACUGGAUUCAGCGGCGGACGGGUGAGUAAUACUUAGGAAUCUGCCCAUUAAUGGGGGACAACAGUUGGAAACGACUGCUAAUACCGCAUACGCCCUACGGGGGAAAGCAGGGGAUCUUCGGACCUUGCGUUAAUGGAUGAGCCUAAGUCAGAUUAGCUAGUUGGUGGGGUAAAGGCCUACCAAGGCGACGAUCUGUAGCGGGUCUGAGAGGAUGAUCCGCCACACUGGGACUGAGACACGGCCCAGACUCCUACGGGAGGCAGCAGUGGGGAAUAUUGGACAAUGGGGGGAACCCUGAUCCAGCCAUGCCGCGUGUGUGAAGAAGGCCUUUUGGUUGUAAAGCACUUUAAGCGAGGAGGAGGCGCCCUAGACUAAUACUCUAGGUGCGUGGACGUUACUCGCAGAAUAAGCACCGGCUAACUCUGUGCCAGCAGCCGCGGUAAUACAGAGGGUGCGAGCGUUAAUCGGAUUUACUGGGCGUAAAGCGUGCGUAGGUGGCCAAUUAAGUCAAAUGUGAAAUCCCUGAGCUUAACUUAGGAAUUGCAUUCGAUACUGGUUGGCUAGAGUAUGGGAGAGGAUGGUAGAAUUCCAGGUGUAGCGGUGAAAUGCGUAGAGAUCUGGAGGAAUACCGAUGGCGAAGGCAGCCAUCUGGCCUAAUACUGACACUGAGGCACGAAAGCAUGGGGAGCAAACAGGAUUAGAUACCCUGGUAGUCCAUGCCGUAAACGAUGUCUACUAGCCGUUGGGGUCUUUGAGACUUUAGUGGCGCAGCUAACGCGAUAAGUAGACCGCCUGGGGAGUACGGUCGCAAGACUAAAACUCAAAUGAAUUGACGGGGGCCCGCACAAGCGGUGGAGCAUGUGGUUUAAUUCGAUGCAACGCGAAGAACCUUACCUGGUCUUGACAUAGUAAGAACUUUCCAGAGAUGGAUUGGUGCCUUCGGGAGCUUACAUACAGGUGCUGCAUGGCUGUCGUCAGCUCGUGUCGUGAGAUGUUGGGUUAAGUCCCGCAACGAGCGCAACCCUUUUCCUUAUUUGCCAGCGGGUUAAGCCGGGAACUUUAAGGAUACUGCCAGUGACAAACUGGAGGAAGGCGGGGACGACGUCAAGUCAUCAUGGCCCUUACGACCAGGGCUACACACGUGCUACAAUGGUCGGUACAAAGGGUUGCUACCUAGCGAUAGGAUGCUAAUCUCAAAAAGCCGAUCGUAGUCCGGAUUGGAGUCUGCAACUCGACUCCAUGAAGUCGGAAUCGCUAGUAAUUCGCGAUUCAGAAUUUCUUCUCUAAU